Molecule: long non-coding RNA, 522 nt
Organism: Juglans microcarpa x Juglans regia
Lineage: Eukaryota; Viridiplantae; Streptophyta; Magnoliopsida; Fagales; Juglandaceae
Exons: 3
Source: RefSeq, a predicted model, not a curated record
CACCACUAUCUUCACCGACAUCCCUAGGCCCUACCCUAUCAAUCUCAGGUCUUCGUUUGCACCCGUUGAAAAGUGGGUAUCUGUGACCCACGACCAUAGUGUAUUUUGCACUGUUCUGCAGUUGUUUUUCAACUUCUUGCGCCUCCGUGAUCCUCCAAAAAUUAUUAUAUAGCACUGUGACGAUUUAUAGUCGACUCGACAUUUUUGAGGAAAUUUUGGAAAAGUUAAGUCGUCCAGAUGAUUUGAAUGUUUCAGUUGAGGAUCAAGGAUAUGGAGCAUGGGUGAGAAGAGUUAGAAUGAUGGUUUAAGCAUAGAAGAUUUAUAUGGGUAUUGAAAGUUUUCAUUCAGUAAGCUUGUUGGGUUCUGAUGUUGUGAUUUGUUGGGAGAUUGAUGUUUAUAUUAAGACUUUGUAUUGUCUUAGAAUAGUUAUUCUGGAGUAAGUGAUGUAAAUAUAUGAGUAUUUUGUGCGAUAGAGAAAAAUUAGAGUAUGUACUAUGUGGAAGAAAAAUGAUUUUUAAGUGA